CCUACGGGAGGCUGCAGUGGGGAAUAUUGGACAAUGGGGGGAACCCUGAUCCAGCCAUGCCGCGUGUGUGAAGAAGGCCCUCGGGUUGUAAAGCACUUUCAGUGAGGAAGAACGCCUAGUGGUUAAUACCCAUCAGGAAAGACAUCACUCACAGAAGAAGCACCGGCUAACUCCGUGCCAGCAGCCGCGGUAAUACGGAGGGUGCGAGCGUUAAUCGGAAUUACUGGGCGUAAAGCGCGCGUAGGUGGCUUGAUAAGCCGGUUGUGAAAGCCCCGGGCUCAACCUGGGAACGGCAUCCGGAACUGUCAAGCUAGAGUGCAGGAGAGGAAGGUAGAAUUCCCGGUGUAGCGGUGAAAUGCGUAGAGAUCGGGAGGAAUACCAGUGGCGAAGGCGGCCUUCUGGACUGACACUGACACUGAGGUGCGAAAGCGUGGGUAGCAAACAGGAUUAGAUACCCCAGUAGUC
RNAcentral lists this ribosomal RNA (465 nucleotides) under Vreelandella stevensii. RNAcentral's name for it is "partial 16S ribosomal RNA". It matches the Rfam family "Bacterial small subunit ribosomal RNA", at positions 338 to 795 of the family's 1533-position model. Lineage: Bacteria; Pseudomonadati; Pseudomonadota; Gammaproteobacteria; Oceanospirillales; Halomonadaceae. The record is from RNAcentral.